Molecule: long non-coding RNA, 1060 nt
Organism: Lampris incognitus (smalleye Pacific opah)
Lineage: Eukaryota; Metazoa; Chordata; Actinopteri; Lampriformes; Lampridae
Exons: 6
Source: RefSeq, a predicted model, not a curated record
ACUUGAAAAUAUAAAACUGGUUGAAACCGGUUUCGUUCUUAUAUUUCAACGUAUAAAGUAUUAUAACAUUCGGUUGUGUUAUACGUUGGUCAUUGUGCCGUCACACUUCAAGUAUUCGGCCCUAACCCCUUGGAGGAAACCCCCAUUUGUUUUUGCCCAUUUUCCCACUUUUGUUCAUUUCUGAACAACAAGAUGCCCAAGAGAAAGAUAGACGGCACUGCUGAGACUAAGGAGCCUACGAGAUGGUCCAAGCGUCUGGCAAAUAAACCCCAACAACCAAAACUGGCACCUAAACCCAAGAAAGCUGCAGUAAAAAAGGCGGCCAAAGGAAAGAAGGCCAGCCCGGCUGAGAACGCUGAUGCCAAGGCCGAGACACCCAAGGUUGAGGCCACCGGAGAUGCCAAAUGAGCAGUAGUGAGCCUUGGGGAGGUUUCCUUGUUCUGUGUACUUGGUGAUUGUACAGUUUUGGAAAAGUAUUUUUUACCAAGUUUUAUAUUACAAAUGUCAUUUAUAGUUUGUUUGUUUGUUUUUGGGGGGAGGUGCACAUGAAAUAAUGAAGUGGGGUGGGCGGGGUCACAUCCAUAUCUACUUUUAUGCCAUUUUGAAAGAAUGCCAUCCAAAUCCUGUAAAAGUAAUAUUUUUAAGUCGUGUGAAUUUUAUUUUUUUUUAACUGCUGAAUAAUACAGAUAUUUUCCUACGUUAUGGAUUUUAAUUCUAGUUUUAAAACCCAAAACAGUUAUCACGAGGCAGCUAAAGUAUAUGGAUAAAGGUUUAAGGAGGAGAGGAUCAUAUUUUAACGUGUGAGCAUGUGGACUUGCUCAGUAAAUGUUUUGAAGCACUGUAUAUCUGGUCUGAAAAGAAAUACCGCAGGAAAAGCCUGUCUGAGGAAAACGCGUAUUAGGUCAACGGUUAAAUGAAUUUUAGGCAACUUAUGUGAGCUUGCUCGUCUGAUGAAAAGUUCUGUGUAGAGAUUGCGUCCUCGAACAGUUGGAUAAAGCUGUACACACUUCCUUUUAUGAGUUUAAAUGUUUGAUGUUCCCAAAUAAAAUGUUCCAAAACA